RNAcentral lists this ribosomal RNA (441 nucleotides) under uncultured Bacteroidota bacterium. RNAcentral describes it as "bacterial SSU rRNA". It matches the Rfam family "Bacterial small subunit ribosomal RNA", at positions 917 to 1359 of the family's 1533-position model. Lineage: Bacteria; Pseudomonadati; Bacteroidota. The record is from RNAcentral.
GGGCCCGCACAAGCGGAGGAGCAUGUGGUUUAAUUCGAUGAUACGCGAGGAACCUUACCCGGGCUUGAACGUAAGACUAAUGUACAGGAAACUGUACAGCCUUAGGGAGUUUUGCGAGGUGCUGCAUGGUUGUCGUCAGCUCGUGCCGUGAGGUGUUAGGUUAAGUCCUGCAACGAGCGCAACCCUUACACAUAGUUACCAGCACGUCAAGGUGGGCACUCUAUGUGAACUGCCUACGCAAGUAGAGAGGAAGGUGGGGAUGACGUCAAAUCAGCACGGCCCUUAUGUCCGGGGCUACACACGUGCUACAAUGGUAUGAACAGAGGGCAGCGACCACGCGAGUGGGAGCCAAUCCUCAAAACAUAUCUCAGUUCGGAUUGGAGUCUGUAACUCGACUCUAUGAAGUUGGAUUCGCUAGUAAUCGCGCAAUCAGCCAUGGCG